Molecule: long non-coding RNA, 1482 nt
Organism: Nematostella vectensis (starlet sea anemone)
Lineage: Eukaryota; Metazoa; Cnidaria; Anthozoa; Actiniaria; Edwardsiidae
Exons: 2
Source: RefSeq, a predicted model, not a curated record
UAACACUUGACUUUCCAUCUUAUUUUAUCCAACGUACAUAUUUUUUAGUCUGAUAAAACACCUCAGCAGUCUAGCUACAGUACUUAUUAGCUGCUCUGGUUUUGGAAAGGUUCAAAAUAUACAGCUUUUCAUACUGAGUUGAUUUGUGUCCCUGUUUAUAAUGUACAAUGGCUCUGCAGACCACCUAGUUUUUGUUUAGUUUGUUUGUAAUGAUUCUAGUUUAGCAAAACUAAUCUCGCAAAGCUCACUAUGUUCAUACUCGAUUCAUUUGGGCGAACGGACGGCAUCUGAAGACAGUUUUGGGCUCCCUGUGGCUACAGUAGCCAUCUUGGAAGUGAAAACCUCCCAUCCCCUCCCCCCAUGAACAAUUAUUAUUCUGUGCGUGUUCAAACUUGACUCAUUUGGGUGAACGGACGGCAUUUGUGGACAGUUUUGGGCUCCCUGUGGCUACAGUUGCCAUCUUGAAAGUGAAGACCUCCCACCCCCUCCCCCCAUGAACAAUUAUUAUUCUAUGCUUGUUCAUACUCGAUUCAUUUGGGCGAACGGACGGCAUUUGUGGACAGUUUUGGGCUCCCUGUUAAAGUCAGUGUAGCGUGGCUCGCGGCACGUCUUCAUUUAGCGGCAUUUUUCGAUGAUCAGAGCUUCUUUGACUACACAAACAUGGCGAAAUUACAAGAUUAUUUGCUGCAAUCUUGAAAUAUAAUGGCAAAUAAAAGCGAACUACAGCAAGCUGCAAGAUUAUGUACAGCGUACAUAGCAUCAUUGAAAUGAGCAAUCACAAAAACUUCUUGCCAGGAUUGGAAACUAUGAACAUUUGAUCUGUAAACAUAUGACAUUGCAUGGUGAUGGUCUGGGAGAUAAAUUAUAUCAAAUACAAGACUAAUCAUAUGAGAGAAAAACUCCAAAGUCCUUCAAACAAGAGCAUGGCCAUGUGGAAGUGAACUACAGCAAGCUGAAACAUUGCUGGAAAAGUGAGAUUGAGAAAUGGUGUCUUCAAUGUAUAAACAAUGAUAAACAAGGGUGUUACAUUAUCAGUCAAAGUGAUAGUAAAGAUACUUUAUAUCUUAGAAAUUCUGCAUCAUAUCCAUUCCGCAAGCUAAACUACUAUUUAGAAUGCUGUGCCAACUGCAAAAUUAUGUACAGCAUGUAACACUGUUUGACAAUCAUAGACAAGUUAUAAAUCAACAAUCACAAAAACUCCUUGAUUGGAAGCUAUGAACAUUCGAUUUGUAAAAAUAUGACAUUGCAUGGUUUAGGCAGAAGUGAAAACUUUAGGGUUAAUCCUUGGGCCCAGGGUCUUCCCCUCAUACCCCCCUUGCCCCUGGGGGUAGGGGAGGGUGUGACCCUGCGAACGAGGAUGGGUCGGGGUUCGGGUUUUCACAAAGGCAACUUCAAGCUGACCACAGGUAGCCCAAGCAUAUGGUUUGUGCGAAAUAACAAAGAGAAUGGUAUAUGGAAAACGAAAUAUAUCCAUCCUGAAGA